Molecule: long non-coding RNA, 291 nt
Filed under: Nicotiana benthamiana
Lineage: Eukaryota; Viridiplantae; Streptophyta; Magnoliopsida; Solanales; Solanaceae
Description: long non-coding RNA (NBEN_LNC006053)
Source: RNAcentral
UUUAUACUUUAAUUUAAUAUUUAAUCAACUAAUUGAUGUUAUUGGGAACUUGUAUAGUUCACACUCUUUGGCUCUACCCAUGAAUUAUCCAGUAAUAGGUCUUUCACAAUCAAAUCUACCUAUACAGUAACGGUAUUUAAUUAUGAAAGUUUGCUGGGCAGCUGACCCUCUUAGUCUGUUAUUGCCAGAGUGGGAGCCUGCCUAAUCUUUAUGUUUUAUGCUUUUUAAAUAAGAUUUCCUCCGCUUAAUGGAUAACCAUUUGUUACCAAUGGAGAAUUUCUUAUCAUCNNN